CCGAGUGCUAGCAUCAUAUGCUGGCUGUCCAGGUGUGUAAAAUACACCUGUUAGCAAGGGCCGGGCAAGACCGGUGCCAGCCGCCGCGGUAACACCGGCGGCCCGAGUGGUGAUCGUGAUUAUUGGGUCUAAAGGGUCCGUAGCCGGUUUGGUCAGUCCUCCGGGAAAUCUGACAGCUCAACUGUUAGGCCUUCGGGGGAUACUGCCAGACUUGGAACCGGGAGAGGUAAGAGGUACUACAGGGGUAGGAGUGAAAUCUUGUAAUCCCUGUGGGACCACCUGUGGCGAAGGCGUCUUACCAGAACGGGUUCGACGGUGAGGGACGAAAGCUGGGGGCACGAACCGGAUUAGAUACCCGGGUAGUCCCAGCCGUAAACGAUGCUCGCUAGGUGUCAGGCAUGGCGCGACCGUGUCUGGUGCCGCAGGGAAGCCGUGAAGCGAGCCACCUGGGAAGUACGGCCGCAAGGCUGAAACUUAAAGGAAUUGGCGGGGGAGCACAACAACGGGUGGAGCCUGCGGUUUAAUUGGACUCAACGCCGGACAACUCACCGGGGACGACAGCAAAAUGUAGGCCAGGCUGAAGACCUUGCCUGAAUCGCUGAGAGGAGGUGCAUGGCCGUCGCCAGUUCGUACUGUGAAGCAUCCUGUUAAGUCAGGCAACGAGCGAGACCCAUCCGGUUGAUCCUGCCCACUGAGCGACUGGGUGGGUCGCUGGUUCGUCUGGGACGGCAUCCGGGCCCUGGACGUCCUGCUCGAGCAGGACCAGGUCGAUCCGAGCCGCGUGGGUGUGACGGGUGUCUCCGGUGGCGGGACCAUGACUGCCUAUGCCGUGGCCUGCGACGAGCGGAUCACCAUGUCGGCCCCCUGCUGCUGGGUAACGAGCGAGACCC
This 890-nucleotide ribosomal RNA is filed under the name unidentified archaeon. RNAcentral's name for it is "bacterial SSU rRNA". It matches the Rfam family "Archaeal small subunit ribosomal RNA", at positions 381 to 1184 of the family's 1478-position model. The record is from RNAcentral.